This 266-nucleotide ribosomal RNA is filed under the name uncultured prokaryote. RNAcentral's name for it is "partial 16S ribosomal RNA". It matches the Rfam family "Bacterial small subunit ribosomal RNA", at positions 524 to 789 of the family's 1533-position model. The record is from RNAcentral.
UACGAAGGGUGCAAGCGUUACUCGGAAUUACUGGGCGUAAAGGGUGCGUAGGUGGUUCGUUAAGUCUGAUGUGAAAGCCCUGGGCUCAACCUGGGAAUUGCAUUGGAUACUGGCGGGCUGGAGUGCGGUAGAGGGUAGUGGAAUUCCCGGUGUAGCAGUGAAAUGCGUAGAUAUCGGGAGGAACAUCCGUGGCGAAGGCGACUGCCUGGACCAGCACUGACACUGAGGCACGAAAGCGUGGGGAGCAAACAGGAUUAGAUACCCGU